AUGAUUAUUUCAACGAACGAAGGUAAUCCAAACGCGUUAAAAUUAAUAAUAGCAGCUAAAAUGGCCCAACAGUCUGUUACCAUUAAGACGGUACAGCCUAAAGUAAGUUUCUUGGGUCGUUUACCUGCUGUUGAACUACCAUCUGGAUUAGUGUUAUUUAGCACUAGUGCAGCAAUGCAACUAUUAGUACCUCCACCUAAAGAAUCAAAUGCUCUGAAUAAUAAGUGGUUGGAAUGGGAUAUUUCUAAGUUACAGCCAGCUAUAGUGCUUUAUAGUAAUACAGGAAGUUAUAAAACAGCAAGUAAAUUAUGCUUAUGGUCUUUGUUGGAAGAACUCAACAGAGAAUUAAAGGAGAAAAAGUACUUAAAUAAGGAUCAUAAUGAUUUGUCAUUGGCAGAUACCUGUAUUUGGGUAACUGUAUGGUCUACUGUGUUAGUUACAGACAUUGGGAAAGAAUUAUGUAAAGAAUAUUUAUUUCUUAAAGAUUGGUUAGCCAAUAUUGAAUUACUGCCAAUUAUUCAGGAUUCUAUUAAGGAAUAUAAAUUUGAAAGAGGUUUGAGAGCAAUUGUCAGUAUUCAAGCUGCAUCCUGGUUUCCUGUUAUUAGUUCCCUAAAUUCACCAGCUAAUAAAGCACAACCAAGUGAUAUAAGCCCAACUAAAGAGAAAGAAUUAGAAGCAGUUAGCCAAGAAGAGAUGCAAAAUAUUGCAAGUAAUUGGUCUUCUAAGUCAUAUCCAGAUGUGAAAAAUUCUCCUUACCCUGUAUUACCAAAGAAAGGGGAAAGAAAUAUUUUAAUAACAUCUGCAUUACCUUAUGUUAACAAUGUUCCUCAUUUAGGAAAUAUUAUUGGUUGUGUACUUUCUGCUGAUAUUUUUGCCAGAUAUUGUAGACAAAGAAAUUAUAAUACCCUUUUCAUUAGUGGAACUGAUGAAUAUGGUACUGCUACAGAAGCUAAAGCUUUGGAAGAAAAGACAACACCACAAGCUAUUUGCGACAAAUUUUUCGAUAUACAUAAUGACAUUUAUAGAUGGUUUAGCAUAGGGUUUGAUUAUUUUGGUCGCACUACAACGCCUGAACAAACAGAAAUCGUGCAAUCAUUUUUCUUAAGAAUAAAAUCGCAAGGGUAUAUAUUGAGUGAAAUAGUAGAUCAACUUCUCUGCGAGUCGUGCAAUAGAUUUUUAGCAGAUAGAUUUGUAGAAGGAACGUGUCCACGGUGUAAAUACGAAGAUGCACGUGGUGAUCAAUGCGAUGGAUGCGGUCAUUUAGUGAAUGCGACAGAUUUAAUAUCUCCCCGGUGUAAAGUAUGCAGUAAUAGACCCAUUGUUAAGAAAUCGGAACAGUUCUUUUUAGAUUUACCUAAGUUAGAGAGUAAAUUAAAAGAAUGGUCCCCCACUGUGGAAAAGGGGUGGUCGACUGUUGCGAAAGUUGUCGCAAAACCAUGGUUACGCGAUGGACUUAAACCACGAUGUAUAACGCGUGAUUUGAAGUGGGGAAUACCCGUCCCUGUAAAAGGUUUUGAAAAUAAAGUGUUCUAUGUUUGGUUUGAUGCACCCUUUGGCUAUAUCAGUAUUACAAAAAGAUACACUAAGGAAUAUGAACAGUGGUGGAAACCAACAGACGUAGAAGUUGAUUUAUAUCAAUUUAUGGCAAAAGACAAUGUUCCAUUCCAUGCAAUAAUGUUCCCUGCUUGUUUAUUAGCAGCUAAUGAAGGAUAUAUAUUAUUGAAGCAUUUAAUGGCAACAGAAUACCUGAAUUACGAAGAUACAAAGUUUUCAAAAUCCAGAGGUAUCGGAGUGUUCGGAACUGAUGCUAGAGAUACCGGCAUACCUGCUGAUGUUUGGCGGUUUUAUCUUGCAUAUGUUAGACCAGAAACUCAAGAUUCUAAUUUCAAUUGGAUAGAUCUAGUAACCAAAAAUAAUAAUGAAUUAUUAAAUAAUUUUGGAAACUUUGUUAACAGGGCCCUAGUAUUUGCUGAAAAAUACUUCGAGUCUAAAAUACCAGCAAUGACACUGCAAGAAGAGGAUUUAACACUACUAGUGUUAGCUCAACGGGAAUUGUCUUCUUACAUACACAAUUUGGAACAAGCUAAAUUACGCGAUGGUUUGAAACAUGUUUUAGCGAUUUCAAAACAUGGAAAUCAGUACAUGCAAUUCCAAGAACCAUGGGUCAAAAUUAAAGGAUCGGACACUGAUAAGAAGAGAGCAGGAACGAUCAUCGGUAUUUGCUGCAAUUUAGCGUGUCUUUUGUCGGCUCUUCUAGCUCCGUAUAUGCCUAAUGUUUCACGCCAAAUUAGAACGCAACUAGGAUUGGAUGCUAGCAGUUAUGGUUACAUUCCUGACAUUAUUACAAACAUACUCCCAACGGGGCAUAAAAUCGGUAAACCAUCUCCUCUGUUUAAAAAGAUAGAGGAGAAAGAGGUAGAAACGUUGAGACAAAAAUAUGCUGGGAAACAAGAAACUAAAAAUGGCGCGCAAAAAAAUAACGAUAAUGACGUUAAAAGUUUAGAAGCUGCAAUUGCAGAACAGGGCAAUAAGGUUAGGGAAUUGAAAGCUAAACAGGAUAAAAGCAUUUGGCAACCGGAGGUUCAAAUUCUUUUAAAUUUGAAGAAAAAACUUUCUGAUCUCGUGAGCGGAUCAAGUAAGCCUACUGAGUCAUCACAACCAAAAAAUAAAAAGCCGGAAGUGGUGUUUGUACCUGAACAAAAUGGGGGUGCUUCCGUGGAUGUUGCAAGUUUGGAAUCAGCUAUUACUAAACAGGGUGAACUCGUACGUGAACUGAAAGCUAAAGAACAGAAAUCAGUAUGGCAGCCCGAAGUGGAAAAACUGUUAAAACUUAAAAAACAAUUAGCUGAUCUCACUGGGAUAACGCCAGCUCCGACUGAUAAAAAGUCGAAGAAAAAGAAGUAAAUUACACGCAUUUCUUCAUCAUCGUGAAGAUGUAAAAUUUCAUACAAUACAGGCCCAUUUUUCAUCUCUUAUUUCAGCGAAUACACUUUGAAACACAUGAAAAACAAUAUUCUCGAUAAAACAAAUUAUAGCAGACAGUACAAUUCCAAUAAAUAAAAGAAGUAUUAUUGGUAUCGUUUCGUGGAUGGUGCAUUCAGUCGAGCUGAUACUAUUGCUGCUGAGUAAUAAUUAUACACAAGUAAACCAAAGAUCAUUAUGUGAAGAAAUGCUACACGACCUGCCCAUUUAUUGCUGACAAAUGAAUACCUUGUUGACACAUUGCAGCUACAAUAAUAAGAACCGUUGUUCCACAGUCGGAAUUGUUAACGUUCUUCUCCACUUUUAAUAUCAUCCACAAGGCGAAUAUUAUAAUGAACGAUAAUAAAAAUAUCAUGUACCAAACAUUUGUUGAAAAUGGUCUAAAGAUUAUAUUUAUGUCUAUCUUUGAUGAGGGUACAGUGAGAAACAUAAAACACGUUCUGUAAAAAACACAAUAUACUUGAUGAUUGUAAAUUUAAUUAAUUGUAUUAGCUGUACAGGAAUAAUUAAUGCCGAAGUUACCUUACAGGCCAAACUUGUGUGAUCACGUCCGCAUAAUUAAGCCUUUCGUUUGUUAAAAUCGAAGGAUAGUAUCCCAAAUCAAAAAUACGUUUACUGAGACCAGUAACCAGCGGGCCGUUCCUAUCAUUUUUCUCCCAAUGGUCUAAUUCCAACACUUCCAAACUAUAAAUAAAACAUGUAUCGAAAAAAAUAAGAAAAUCGAAGAAAUUGUAAUUAGCGAAAAAUUACGUGAAAUUGAAUAUUUCAGCAAUGUCCACUAUGAGUGAAUAUCCAAAUUUCGGCCAGUUAUCUGUAAGUGCCACACUGUUCUGCUCCUGAAGAUACUCUGUCAAAAUUUGAUCUUUAGGCCUCUGAGUUACCUAUGUAAAGAUUAUCAUUUAUAUUUGUAAUAUAUGAUUAUUAAGUACA
Molecule: non-coding RNA, 3912 nt
Organism: Osmia lignaria (orchard mason bee)
Lineage: Eukaryota; Metazoa; Arthropoda; Insecta; Hymenoptera; Megachilidae
Source: RefSeq, a predicted model, not a curated record